AGGGCUUUAGCUUAAUUAAAGUGUCUGUUUUGCAUGCAGUGGAUGUGGGUUAGUACCCCAUAAGUCUUA
Molecule: transfer RNA, 69 nt
Filed under: Odontobutis obscura
Lineage: Eukaryota; Metazoa; Chordata; Actinopteri; Gobiiformes; Odontobutidae
Description: tRNA-Ala
Rfam family: tRNA
About the family: Transfer RNA (tRNA) molecules are approximately 80 nucleotides in length.
Source: RNAcentral